UCCCAGGGUGUAGACUUGACUGCGAUGGGU
RNAcentral lists this non-coding RNA (30 nucleotides) under Mus musculus (house mouse). The record is from RNAcentral. Lineage: Eukaryota; Metazoa; Chordata; Mammalia; Rodentia; Muridae.